This 82-nucleotide non-coding RNA is filed under the name bovine gut metagenome. RNAcentral's name for it is "Glycine riboswitch". It matches the Rfam family "Glycine riboswitch aptamer", at positions 7 to 88 of the family's 94-position model. From Rfam's summary of the family: This family represents the bacterial glycine riboswitch. Glycine riboswitches usually consist of two metabolite-binding aptamers domains with similar structures in tandem. The record is from RNAcentral.
GGGACUCUGGAGAAGCUCAUUUUUGAGUGCCGAAGGUGCAAGGCGGUCCCCCGCCGAAUCUCUCAGGCAAAAGGACAGGGCC